Molecule: long non-coding RNA, 1336 nt
Filed under: Felis catus (domestic cat)
Lineage: Eukaryota; Metazoa; Chordata; Mammalia; Carnivora; Felidae
Description: lncRNA (ENSFCAG00000043852.2)
Source: RNAcentral
UGCAUGGUAAAGUUACAAGCGGACGUUUCCCCCAAGCAUCUGGCCAGUUGUGGUGUCAUCCUUGACUGAGACAUCUUUCAUUUCCCAUUGGUGAGUGACGCCUUACUUCACGUAUGUUAACUACUGAUCGGUUUUUUGAAGGGUCACUGUUCAUUGAUCUCUUGCUGCUUCUUGAACCGGGUGACGCUCAGGGUGAUGUGUCUCAGGUUUACCACGUGGCAUAAAAUCUGGACCAUGACCCAGGGCACAGUUACAGACGUCCACAAAGACUUUCACUCCAACAUUGACUCACUCGGGGCCUUUGGGACCGCUCUCUCGGACGCCCGAGGCCGAUCUUCCGUGCUGCAAUCCUGCCCCAGUUCUGCUUCUUCCCUCUCUUCAAGGCCACCGCCCCAGAGACUCACCUUUGGUGCUCCCUUCAGCCACCCUCUGCAUGAAACAGCCAGGGGCCAGCCCUGCCUCCUGCCCUCCAGAGCUCCCGUUAGGGACCGAAGGCUUGCGCCCUCCCCGAAUCCCUAUGUUGAAGCCCCCACCUCCGUGUAAUGUUAUGUGGAGGGGGGAACCUUGGGAGGAAAUUAGGGUUGGAUGGGAUCAGGAGAGUGGGGCCGUCACGGUGGAUUUGGCCCUUUAAGAAGAGACGUGAGAUCUCACCCCUCCCCGUCCUCCUCGAGCACACAGAGAAGAGGCCAUCCAUCCAUUUGGCAAGCGUUCACCUCCAACAGGCUGUGCUGGCUCCUUGACCCUGAACUUCCAGCCUCCAGAAUUGUGAGACACAAAUGCCUGUUGUUUAGACCCCUCGGCCUGUGGGACUUUGUUACAGCCGUUCACACUGACUGGGACAGCCCUGAGCCCCAGUCCAUCGGUCGGGAGGGGGCAGUUCACUGAGGCUCCUGUCCUGGGAAGAAGCUUGCGUACGUGUUCCUCUGCUCUCCCUCCUCAGCCCCAUAGUGUCACCCCAGACACCCUUCCUGCCCCUCGGGAAGCCUGUUUCUCUCCGUUCCCAUGACCGGGGACUUCAUUCUGACCCACCCGGCCCACCUGGACUGUGCCCACACUCCCGGCCUCUGUCCUCCAGGCCCUACGAGGGGGACCCUUUAAAACCAGACAUCUCUGGGGCGCCUGGGUGGCACAGUCGGUUGAGCGUCCGACUUCAGCCAGGUCACGAUCUCGCGGUCCGUGAGUUCGAGCCCCGCGUCAGGCUCUGGGCUGAUGGCUCGGAGCCUGGAGCCUGUUUCCGAUUCUGUGUCUCCCUCUCUCUCUGCCCCUCCCCCGUCCAUGCUCUGUCUCUCUCUGUCCCAAAAAUAAAUAAACGUUGGAAAAAAAAAUUAAAAAAAAA